GUAGGGUGUGUAGUCAGAAAAUGUGUGUGAAAAUAGAGAGUAUCUUAUAAGGAAUUGAGCAAAUUCUCUAAGGCAUGUUACUACAUUCAAAAUAUUGUUUUAAUUGGUUAAUUGUGAACUAGUAAGUAGUGACUGUGAUUAAGUUUGUGCUCAAGUGUGAAGGUAACCAAAAUCUGUUGGAAUUAUGAUUUUUAACAUGUCAUGUGCAUUGGAAAUCCCUGAGGCAAAUGUUGGAAGGUUAGGUUGUGUUUUGUUUGUUUUGUUUCGUUUUGUUUCUUUUAUUUUGCUCGAGGACUAGCAAAAGCUAAGUGUGGGGGAAUUUGAUAGGAGCAUAUUUAUGCAACUUAGUUAGCUUGUUUCUUGGCAUUUACUUAGUUUAAUUCUAGUUAUUUUAGUACUUUAAGCUAUUUUUGUGUGUUUGUAGGUUCAAAUAACAAAGUUGGCAACAAAGUGCUAUUUGGAGCAUUUUGGAGCAUUUUUGGGCCAAGAUUGGAUAGUGCAAGCAUGGAGACAUGAGGAUGGACGUUUUUGAAGAUUAGAAGGCUAGAAAUCAGCAUGUGCAAGUGUGUUGACUUACAACUACAAACAUCCAUCCACUACACCCAUUACAUCCCCUCAUUAACAAACAUCCAUCCACUACACACAUUACAUCCACUCAUUACCAAAUACUCAUCCACUACACCCAUUACAUCCACUCAUUAUCAAACAUUCAUCCACUGCACCCAUUACAUCCACUCAUUACCAAACACUCACCCACUAUACCCAUUACAUCCACUCAUUACCACAACAUACAACACUACCACUUUAAUUAGAUGGUGGUCCUCUCCCUAGCCUAUAAAUAAAUUCACCUUUCACCAUAACAAAGAGGAGAAAAAAUCCGUCAAAAGACACUACAUUCACAUCUCACAACUCCAUACACUUACACUUUCAUUCCUUGGCCGUGAGCACUAUCCAUUCAUGUAACACAUCCAUUCAUCUUCACAUCCAUUCCUCCAUACAACCAAACCUUCAAACACUCACCAACACCUUGUGUCGUAGAAACGGAAGGGAAGGAAAGUGCUUGGACGUGCAUGUUGUCCAACUUGGAUCAUUAGAACGUUUAGGUGUUUUCUUUCUUUUGUUUUCAAUGUCUAAAUUUGUUUACCUUUGCUUUGUGAGUAUAAGGAACUAAACCCCCCUUAGCUAGGGGGAAUUCGAAACCAUGUUCAUGCUUGCAAUAUGAUUUGAUUACUUUCAGCUGUGAUUCAUAAGUUGUGAAUUCAAUUUACUUAUCCAUUUGAAUUAAAAUUGAUUUGUGUAUGUUGGUUGAGAGUGCACGCUUAAUUUUCAUGCAUAAAUCUGAUGCGAGGAUAUAAGG
Molecule: long non-coding RNA, 1357 nt
Filed under: Malus domestica (apple)
Lineage: Eukaryota; Viridiplantae; Streptophyta; Magnoliopsida; Rosales; Rosaceae
Description: long non-coding RNA (MDOM_LNC001792)
Source: RNAcentral